This 239-nucleotide unclassified non-coding RNA is filed under the name Lophodermium sp. RNAcentral's name for it is "partial contains 5.8S ribosomal RNA, internal transcribed spacer 2, and large subunit ribosomal RNA". The stretch from base 1 to 52 matches the Rfam family "5.8S ribosomal RNA", at positions 103 to 154 of the family's 154-position model. RNAcentral also lists the same sequence under 1 other name. Lineage: Eukaryota; Fungi; Ascomycota; Leotiomycetes; Rhytismatales; Rhytismataceae. The record is from RNAcentral.
AACGCACAUUGCGCCCUCUGGUAUUCCGGGGGGCAUGCCUGUUCGAGCGUCAUUACAACCCUCAAGCUCUGCUUGGUAUUGGGCUCGCCCUGUAGGGCCUGCCUCAAAAUCAGUGGCGGCCACCGUCCGACCUUCAGCGCAGUAAUGCUCGUCGCUGUAAGGGAGGGCCGAAGCCGUCAUGACAACCCCCACUUUACAAGGUUGACCUCGGAUCAGGUAGGGAUACCCGCUGAACUUAA